Gasterosteus aculeatus aculeatus (three-spined stickleback) is the source of this 3821-nucleotide long non-coding RNA. Lineage: Eukaryota; Metazoa; Chordata; Actinopteri; Perciformes; Gasterosteidae. The record is from Ensembl.
CUCGGAAAGUUAGCUCUUUAAAACAAAAGAACUACUCAUGGUCUAACUAUUCUGACCUUUAAAAUAUAGUUUAAUUUAACUUAACAUCAUAUAAGAUUAAAUAUUAUUUGAGGAAAUUGAACUUUCUUGUUCUUCUGAGUUUCAAUCCUUAUAGUUGAAAUCCACUUAUUGUAAGUUGCUUUGGAUAAAAGCCUCAGAUAAAUGACAUGUGAUGGAAUGUAAAAUAAGAUUAUAUAUUAUGACAGCUCGUGGGAAAGCAGGUUAUUCAAAUUAAUAUUAUAUUAACUGUAUCAUGAAUUGUUAGGUACUGUUGUUUGAGCAGGUUUACACACAGUGAUCAUCACAAGGACAUUUGUUAAUUAUCAGGUUUUUUCUUCUUGCUUUUACUUAUUUUAGGUCAAAAAGGUUAAGAACCUUAGAGGUUCACCGUCUUAUAUUAGCAUGUUAGCAUGAACACGUGUCUUAUGUUAGCAUGAAGGUUCUUUGUCCAACCGUCGGGCACCAGAAGCUCAGCAAUCUUCUCCCCAUCACAGCGUCUCCCACCUGAGUGAAGAUGCCUUCAGGUACACUCCCUUAUUUUCAUAGCUGAGGUUUCUCCUCUGCACGCUACCUCCGCCUCCCUCAGGGCCGGCGGUCUGAUCCCGUCUGUUGUUCUUGGCCUGUGGAGGACGACCUCCUCUUAAAUAUGUGCUCUUUGCACGAGAGGGGAGCCAGAAGAACGAGAAGAAAACUGACACGUCUGCAUUUAUUCUCCAUAUUGUUUUAGCUUUUUCAUGUUACUUCAACAACAUGGUGUCACGUUUGCUUCUUCUUCCAGCAAACAGAAAGUGACGUGUGCAGUGAGAAGAAAGUGAGCGGUGGUCUUGGUCCUGAUGGACCUCAGCCUCCUGCCCGAUGGAGGGGACACGGGGUCCUCAGGGCGUCCCGUUGUGGCCGCUAACAGCCAACAAGACGCCGUCCAGCCCGCUGGUCUCCAGACUCACCUGGUGGAGGUCACCUGUGUACUUUCUUUUAUUAUAGCGUUACGUGUUUAACACCAGGCGGUCAGGAGCGAGCGCAGCGUGUGACUCACUGAGCGCUGCAGUCAUGUGACAGUGAAAUCACCACGUGGAGACUUUGUCCACACGAGGGGGAACUUGCACCACGUCGCACCGCCCAGUCGGAGGAGGGUGCAGCAUAAUUCCUCCAUUUUAAAUUCCUGAGUAAGAAUCCUUGGUGAGUUAAAGCCCCUCGGGCGCCAAUCUGCCCUCAGACAGCGAGGCUCCAGAUGGGCGUCAGCCGCCAAUCACCGGGAGCUUCAAGCCCCGGCGUGCCGCCGAGAGGGACGUUACCGUGACGAUGAGAAACAACACACGGCGACUCACAGUGAGAUGAGGAUGAUGAUGAUGUAUCAAAAGGAGAAAGUGUGAGGAAGAAGAGAAGAAGGAAAGGAGUUAAGGAAAAGACAGUGGAGGAGACAAUGUGAGGAGAGGAAACGAGAGAGGAGCUGAAGCUUUGGGGGGUGGGGGUGGACGGGGGAGGAGCCUCGGAGCUGGUCGUUUUUCAACGGCGCCAUCUCGGAUGCCUCAAAGGAAGUGAGCGAGGUCCGAGGACGAAAGGUCGUAAGGGUCAGGACUCGCCCCAUCGACCUCUGACCUCUGACCAGCGUCACUGGAGGAGCUUUAGUUCUUCUAAGAUGCUUUUCUGUAGUGCAACAGUUUUACAGGAUGCGAAUGAAACAAACGUCCCAAUAGAUUAUUGACCGUCUAAAUGUGUUUGUGUUUUCAGCAGUAGAGCAAAGUACAUUUAGAGGUACUUUUACCUGAGGUUUCAGGGCUCUACAAUAAUUUAAAUUAUGUUUAUUUAACAUCUACAUGAAGAAGAAUUCACCAGAUAUUCUACUUUCUAAAGUGACCCAGCCUCCUCAGCACCAGGCUGUGAUCGGUCUGCUGACUCUCACGUUCCUGUUGUUCUGGAGGUGAAUCGCUCUGCAACACACGCAAGACUUUACAACCAGGAAGUGAGACCAGCGCGUAAAGACCAACGUGAAGACGCAGGAACACGUCUCGGCCUCCAGUCGAGGUCUCUUCAGUGGGGAUGUGCUCACGGCUCAGGUACGAUGACCCCGUUGACCUCCUGCGGUUCCUCCUGUCGGCUCAAAGGACCCAGAGACCGAAUCAAAGAACACGUCUUUGGACGCACAAACACUCUCCUUCCACCAGUAGUCGCAGCAGGAUCUGUCCUCUGUCCUCGCAGGUCUGCAUGGUCCUGGUUCUGUGGACGUCCUCGGGGACCCUGCUGCUCAGUCGUUGGGGACGUGUUCCCGUUCCGGGGGAACCGACCGCAAAACCCUCAAAGGUCCGAUUGGGCUAAAAUGAAAUAAAAUGAAUUGAAAUAUUCUAAAGGAGCUUUGUCACAAUCCAAAGCGUGUACUAACGUGUACUACUAGCAUGUACUAACAUGUACUACUAGCGUGUACUAACGUGUACUAACGUGAUCAGAUUUGAAUUAUGCAGAAUUUCUGUCAACUCAAAUGAUCAUUUUCACAUUUUGUCACAGAAAGUGUUGGAAAGUAAGAACUUUUUGUUCAUGUGUCAAAUAAAAUAUUAUUUUUAACGAUGCUUGUUUCACUCUCCUGGUGGUGACGUCUCACAGGAGGACACGUGGGAGGACACAUACCUGUAGAUUAUUGUUAUAUCGGACGGACAGACGACAUCUCGUGAUGAAAGUUGUGCUAAAAAGAACAUGUGAGGAGAUCCAGUUGAUUACGUGACAUUAAAACGAUCACAGCUGCACUGUGGUAUCAUUUAUUGAUCACGGUGGUUCUACAAUAUUCUCAUCAUGUUAUUGAUUACGUAGCUCCAGAGUCAUGGCUGUAACCCGGUGACCCUGAAUGUUGAUUUGAGAGCCGGGUGUUUUAUUUCUAACGUCCGCUUCCUGUCAACGCUCGGCGGUGCGUUUGACUUGUCGUCGGGGGGCCGGUCGCUCGGGGCCCAGAGGCCUCUGGGACGCUGCGGGUGAGGAAUAUUACAGGAAGAGGGCGACGGGGGCGAGCUGCUGACGUCCAGCCGUGGUCACCCGCUUAGUCAGAGACAGGAAGUCCUGUUGGUUUUACUCACAGGGAACCCAAAGCAAACACAGCUGGGAUUGGUCAGGUCCCUCCCCCCCAGGCCUCUGCUCCACCAAUCACGUGGAGGCGGAAAAUGACGAGCAGAGCGCCGUCUGUCCGUCUGGCGCCCACAUUUAACCCCUUAAUGAGUCACGCCUUCAAAAUAAAGUACCGUUUCAAACCAAACAAAACAACGGCUUUAAAGGUCUUAUUCAUUUCAAUGUGCUUCAUGUCAACAUUACUUUGCCGUCCCAACUAAUAAUCAAUCGUCAAUAUUCAAUCAGUCAAGAUCACUCAUAAGGAAGAAUGCGUCAAAAUAAAGUUCCUUGUGGGCUUUUGUUUUAUGUUUCAGGGGAAGUUUCUUCUCUCAGAGCCAGAAUGUUUCUGUAUUAUUCCAUAAACACAGUGACCGUUUAUGACUGUGAGACGGAACCUUCACAGAAGCUUCUUUAUUCUUUCUUUCCAAAAUGAGUUUCAAAGGAUUUGAGGGUUUAUAAUUAUACAUGAACUAUUGUUUUCUACUCCAGCGUUUGCUUUAAUAUUCAGUGAUUUACAAGAUUUAGCUGACGGAUAUUUAAUCUACAGCGGCAACAAACGUUGUCAAAGAAAGAAGCCUGAAAUGAUGCGUUGAGGAUAUUGAAGUUUGAUGGACGUUAAGUAGUCCUUUUGUUUUGUAAUCCUUUAUUGUAUCCUAGCAACAUGGUAGUGAUGAAUAAAUAAUAAGACGUUUGUG